CACGGGGGUUGCGAGCGUUGUCCGGAAUUACUAGGCGUAAAGGGCAGGCAGGCGGAUCCAUAAGUUUAUCGUUUAAGGCGUCGGCUUAACCGGCGUAGGGCGGUAGAUACUGUGGAUCUGGAAUGCGGUUGGGGAAGACAGAAUUCCUGAUGUAGCGGUGGAAUGCGCAGAGAUCAGGAGGAAUACCGAAGGCGAAGGCAGUCUUCCAAGCCGUUAUUGACGCUCAACUGCGAAGGUGUGGGUAUCAAACAGGAUUAGAUACCCGGGUAGUCCCUGAG
RNAcentral lists this ribosomal RNA (278 nucleotides) under uncultured prokaryote. RNAcentral describes it as "partial 16S ribosomal RNA". It matches the Rfam family "Bacterial small subunit ribosomal RNA", at positions 524 to 801 of the family's 1533-position model. The record is from RNAcentral.